Molecule: ribosomal RNA, 254 nt
Filed under: uncultured bacterium
Lineage: Bacteria
Description: partial 16S ribosomal RNA
Rfam family: Bacterial small subunit ribosomal RNA
Source: RNAcentral
UACGUAGGGAGCGAGCGUUGUUCGGAUUUACUGGGCGUAAAGGGCGCGUAGGCGGCAUAUUAAGUCAUCUGUGAAAUCUCCGAGCUUAACUCGGAACUGUCAGCUGAUACUGAUGUGCUAGAGUGCGGAAGGGGCAAUCGGAAUUCUUGGUGUAGCGGUGAAAUGCGUAGAUAUCAAGAGGAACACCUGAGGUGAAGACGGGUUGCUGGGCCGACACUGACGCUGAGUGCGCGAAAGCCAGGGGAGCAAACGGG